RNAcentral lists this ribosomal RNA (253 nucleotides) under uncultured bacterium. Its description in RNAcentral is "partial 16S ribosomal RNA". It matches the Rfam family "Bacterial small subunit ribosomal RNA", at positions 524 to 776 of the family's 1533-position model. The record is from RNAcentral.
GACGUAGGGCGCGAGCGUUGUCCGGAUUUAUUGGGCGUAAAGAGCUCGUAGGCGGCUUGUCGCGUCGAAUGUGAAAACUCGAGGCUCAACCUCGGGCUUGCAGUGGAUACGGGCAGACUAGAGUGCGGUAGGGGAGACUGGAAUUCCUGGUGUAGCGGUGAAAUGCGCAGAUAUCAGGAGGAACACCGAUGGCGAAGGCAGGUCUCUGGGCCGAUACUGACGCUGAGGAGCGAAAGCGUGGGGAGCGAACAGG